UGGGGAAUAUUGCACAGUGGGCGCAAGCCUGAUGCAGCCAUGCCGCGUGUGUGAAGAAGGCCUUCGGGUUGUAAAGCACUUUCAGCGGGGAGGAAGGCGGUGAGGUUAAUAACCUCAUCGAUUGACGUUACCCGCAGAAGAAGCACCGGCUAACUCCGUGCCAGCAGCCGCGGUAAUACGGAGGGUGCAAGCGUUAAUCGGAAUUACUGGGCGUAAAGCGCACGCAGGCGGUUUGUUAAGUCAGAUGUGAAAUCCUCGGGCUCAACCUGGGAACUGCAUCUGAUACUGGCAAGCUUGAGUCUCGUAGAGGGGGGUAGAAUUCCAGGUGUAGCGGUGAAAUGCGUAGAGAUCUGGAGGAAUACCGGUGGCGAAGGCGGCCCCCUGGACGAAGACUGACGCUCAGGUGCGAAAGCGUGGGGAGCAAACAGG
This 429-nucleotide ribosomal RNA is filed under the name Chloroflexota bacterium. RNAcentral describes it as "Chloroflexi bacterium partial 16S ribosomal RNA". It matches the Rfam family "Bacterial small subunit ribosomal RNA", at positions 355 to 776 of the family's 1533-position model. The record is from RNAcentral. Lineage: Bacteria; Bacillati; Chloroflexota.